GGUCAAAACUCCUGUGCUGAUCAGUAGUGGGAUUGUGCCUGUGAAUAGCUACUGCACUCCAGCCUGGGCAACAGAGUGAGA
This 81-nucleotide microRNA precursor is filed under the name Chlorocebus sabaeus (green monkey). RNAcentral describes it as "miRNA (ENSCSAG00000019854.1)". The record is from RNAcentral. Lineage: Eukaryota; Metazoa; Chordata; Mammalia; Primates; Cercopithecidae.